CCCUAACAACACAGCACAGAUCCCUUUGCUUAUUUAAUGGUGAGACAUCACGGUGGUGACCCCGCGGGUACUCCUAGACAUGGAUACAUAAUUUUUUAUUGCUCUGAGCUAGCUAUGUAGGACUACCUCGGGCCAUGAGAAUGAAAUGCAUCCGAACAUGUAUGAUGCUACUGAGCGAUGUUAUGUAUUGCUCCACUAUUUUCACCCGAGUACAUGGCAUCGAACUCAAACUCUAUUAGGUGACACCCUUCUUUACUCACAAAUUAAUAUGUCAUCUUUGAGAAAUAGAGAAAGCUAUUGGCCUCCGUAUAGGAAGCAGUGAGGAAUAGGAGGCACCGGGAACGAGGGGACCAUUGCAAAGUGUAGCUAGCAGCUACAUGUGCUUUCAUUUUUCACAUUGUUCUUCAGGAAAACUCUAACGGAUGCCUUACAUGUCAAUAUCAUGUCACUACAAAUGUUGAAUUAUUAAUGGAAAGCCUAUUGGACUUCCACCUCAAGAUGACCUAGUGGUAUUGGUGCUUCCAAAGAGAUCACCUACACCCCGAGCAAUAGCCAAUCUAGCAUCGCGUGGAGAUCUUGCAGUCCACCAACCGGCCACACACCUUGGGAUUUCUUUGACCAGAUAGGUCAGUGAGAUCACUAUUCUAUGGCGAUUUCCAGUGCAUUAUCUUAGUGUGGUCUCCUAUGAUAUGGUAGAUAUUUGGAUGCAACAACUCCAAUGCCUUGUCUUGUAGUGUUAAAUCUAAAACAAGCUUCAUUUAAUUGGCCUUGCGGUUACACUCGCAUUUCAACACUUCAGCCUAUUUGUGGCAUGAACUAACUCGGUUAAUGUUUCUGCACGCACACAACCAUCCCAACUUUGUGGCAUUCUCAUAUAUAUUAUCAUAUAAAUAAAAGGAUUCUUGCGCUUGCCGGUUACUACCACAAAUUCAUGUGGAGUUUAAUUUCUUUUUUCACAUGAUCACCAAUUUAUAUUAAAUAAAAAUGCAAUGUUCACUUGGAUUAAGGACCAUGCUACAUCGUUUUCUAUUCUAAACGAUGCCAUGAUCACUACACAGGAAAUGGCG
This 1067-nucleotide long non-coding RNA is filed under the name Hordeum vulgare. RNAcentral describes it as "long non-coding RNA (HVUL_LNC017546)". The record is from RNAcentral. Lineage: Eukaryota; Viridiplantae; Streptophyta; Magnoliopsida; Poales; Poaceae.